UCGCUACCGACGGCCUUAUCCAGUUAUGC
Molecule: non-coding RNA, 29 nt
Filed under: Rattus norvegicus (Norway rat)
Lineage: Eukaryota; Metazoa; Chordata; Mammalia; Rodentia; Muridae
Source: RNAcentral